UAUAGAUCAAGUGUAGUACUGAGGAAUUUGAAUCCCAAUCAGAACACAGGCUCAUGAGUCAGCUAUCACUGGAAUGAAAUGGGAUCCUACAGGUCAUAUGUUGUUGACCUGUGCUAGAGGAGACUCACAUGUCAAAGUGUGGACACCUGGUCGUGAAGGUCUUAUUCUGUUGCAUACACUAUACCACACUGCAGCUGUCACUGUAGUAGAAUGGUGUACUUUACUUGGCAAGGGUGAAGCUAAAUCACUUAUGUUAGCAAGUGGUUGUGACAAUGGGAUGGUGUAUGUUGAAAGUGUACCACAAAUCACAACCAAUGAGAACCAGUUAACCCCUACAAGCUCAGCCUCUUUCACUAGUCAGG
Molecule: long non-coding RNA, 362 nt
Organism: Ruditapes philippinarum (Manila clam)
Lineage: Eukaryota; Metazoa; Mollusca; Bivalvia; Venerida; Veneridae
Exons: 3
Source: RefSeq, a predicted model, not a curated record